CCUGCGGGGGCUGCAGUGGGGAAUAUUGGACAAUGGGCGAAAGCCUGAUCCAGCCAUGCCGCGUGUGUGAAGAAGGCCUUCGGGUUGUAAAGCACUUUCAGUGGGGAAGAAAGCCUUGGGGCUAAUACCCUCGAGGAAGGACAUCACCCACAGAAGAAGCACCGGCUAACUCCGUGCCAGCAGCCGCGGUAAUACGGAGGGUGCGAGCGUUAAUCGGAAUUACUGGGCGUAAAGCGCGCGUAGGCGGUCUGAUAAGCCGGUUGUGAAAGCCCCGGGCUCAACCUGGGAACGGCAUCCGGAACUGUCAGGCUAGAGUGCAGGAGAGGAAGGUAGAAUUCCCGGUGUAGCGGUGAAAUGCGUAGAGAUCGGGAGGAAUACCAGUGGCGAAGGCGGCCUUCUGGACUGACACUGACGCUGAGGUGCGAAAGCGUGGGUAGCAAACAGGAUUAGAUACCCGUGUAGUC
Molecule: ribosomal RNA, 464 nt
Filed under: Vreelandella stevensii
Lineage: Bacteria; Pseudomonadati; Pseudomonadota; Gammaproteobacteria; Oceanospirillales; Halomonadaceae
Description: partial 16S ribosomal RNA
Rfam family: Bacterial small subunit ribosomal RNA
Source: RNAcentral